GAGAAACUAGUAAAUAAUAAUAUAUUAUCUCCAAAUUGUUUUCUCGUACAUUUUGGUGCAAGCAACUUAUGCUGGGUUAAACCCUGCACUCAAAUUGUGCAGAUAAAUACUCAUUAACUAAGAUCUUCAAGUAGUGCAAUUAUACAGAAGCAUAUAAAUACUAAAACAUGAACAAAAUGAAGCAAAAUCACUUUUUCUACCUCUAAAUACUUUUACUUUUCAAGGCACACAAACAAUGAAACAUGUUAUCAAAUAUUGGAUACUCUGAAUACUUCUCAUAUCAUAUCACUUAAUUUAUGCCAACUUGAUCCAGUAUUGCUGAUCAAAGAAAGAACAUCCAUUAAGAUGCAAGGGCUGCAGCAGCUUUCUGAAAUGGAAUGAAAAUAUUAAAGUUUAUAGUGGAAAUGCUACUACUUCUCUUUAGGAGAUGAUAAUUUAGAGAAAAAGAUAAAGAAAAUAGAAUUUUUAAUCAAAGUUUACCCGUUUUUGCUCUUCCAUGUUUGCUUUUAUCAGAGAAUAGACAGCAACACCUGCAAUUGCAAUAGCAGUGCCAAUGCCAGUUUGUGUGUAUAUUGUGUUGCCUGCAGAAAUUCACAAAAUGUUAGAAUAGAACAUCAGAGUUAUUGUUAAUUAAUCACAGCUUAUUAUGAUUGUCUAUUUGACAGUGUUGAAAUGAACACUCAUGGCGCUUCCGAGACAUCUGAACAAAAAGUUUGUUACACAGCUAACCCAUUACCUCCUCGCCCUCGACCACGCAAGAACCGUUCUGAAGCCUGGGAUCACUUUACAAUAGAGCCGGGAGAGGAAAAGAA
RNAcentral lists this long non-coding RNA (812 nucleotides) under Trifolium pratense (red clover). RNAcentral describes it as "long non-coding RNA (TPRA_LNC000468)". The record is from RNAcentral. Lineage: Eukaryota; Viridiplantae; Streptophyta; Magnoliopsida; Fabales; Fabaceae.